RNAcentral lists this ribosomal RNA (485 nucleotides) under uncultured bacterium. RNAcentral describes it as "partial 16S rRNA". The record is from RNAcentral.
GCACGUAGUUAGCCGGUGCUUCUUCUGUAGGUACCGUCAGUAGUCACAAGUAUUAGUCGUAACCGUUUCGUUCCCACCGAAAGAGCUUUACAACCCGAAGGCCUUCUUCACUCACGCGGCAUGGCUGGAUCAGGGUUGCCCCCAUUGUCCAAAAUUCCCCACUGCUGCCUCCCGUAGGAGUCUGGGCCGUGUCUCAGUCCCAGUGUGGCUGAUCAUCCUCUCAGACCAGCUACCGAUCGUCGCCUUGGUGGGCCUUUACCCCGCCAACUAGCUAAUCGGACAUCGGCCGCUCCAAUCGCGCAAGGCCUUGCGGUCCCCUGCUUUGCUGUCUCCAGAUCAUGCGGUAUUAGCUCACCUUUCGGUGGGUUAUCCCCCACAACAGGACACGUUCCGAUGUAUUACUCACCCGUUCGCCACUCGCCACCAGGGUUGCCCCCGUGCUGCCGUUCGACUUGCAUGUGUAAGGCAUGCCGCCAGCGUUCAAU